Molecule: ribosomal RNA, 656 nt
Filed under: uncultured bacterium
Lineage: Bacteria
Description: bacterial SSU rRNA
Rfam family: Bacterial small subunit ribosomal RNA
Source: RNAcentral
UAGAGUUUGAUCCUGGCUCAGAACGAACGCUGGCGGCGUGCCUAACACAUGCAAGUCGAGCGGUUCAUGGGUUUCGGCCCAUGGGUAGCGGCAGACGGGUGAGUAACACGUGGGUAACCUGUCCCUAGGUGGGGGAUAACCACUCGAAAGGGUGGCUAAUACCGCAUAAGACCCCGGGUUUUUGGAUCUGAGGUCAAAGGCGCAAGUCGCCGAGGGAGGGGCCCGCGGCCGAUUAGCUAGUUGGUAGGGUAACGGCCUACCAAGGCAGUGAUCGGUAGCUGGUCUGAGAGGAUGAUCAGCCACACUGGUACUGAGACACGGACCAGACUCCUACGGGAGGCAGCAGUGGGGAAUAUUGCGCAAUGGGCGAAGGCCUGACGCAGCAACGCCGCGUGGGUGAUGAAGGCCUUCGGGUCGUAAAGCCCUGUCAGAUGGGACGAAGCAAGUGACGGUACCAUCGAAGGAAGCACCGGCUAACUCCGUGCCAGCAGCCGCGGUAAUACGGAGGGUGCAAGCGUUGUUCGGAAUCACUGGGCGUAAAGGGCGCGUAGGCGGCUCCAAAAGUCUGAUGUGAAAGCCCGGGGCUCAACCCGGAAGUGCAUUGGAAACUGUGGAGCUUGAGUUCGGGAGAGAAGGCAAAUCCGGUGUAGGUUGAA